CGGCGUCGAGCGGCGGACGGGUGAGUAAUGCCUAGGAAAUUGCCCUGAUGUGGGGGAUAACCAUUGGAAACGAUGGCUAAUACCGCAUGAUGCCUACGGGCCAAAGAGGGGGACCUUCGGGCCUCUCGCGUCAGGAUAUGCCUAGGUGGGAUUAGCUAGUUGGUGAGGUAAGGGCUCACCAAGGCGACGAUCCCUAGCUGGUCUGAGAGGAUGAUCAGCCACACUGGAACUGAGACACGGUCCAGACUCCUACGGGAGGCAGCAGUGGGGAAUAUUGCACAAUGGGCGCAAGCCUGAUGCAGCCAUGCCGCGUGUGUGAAGAAGGCCUUCGGGUUGUAAAGCACUUUCAGUCGUGAGGAAGGUGGUAGUGUUAAUAGCACUAUCAUUUGACGUUAGCGACAGAAGAAGCACCGGCUAACUCCGUGCCAGCAGCCGCGGUAAUACG
This 445-nucleotide ribosomal RNA is filed under the name Vibrio parahaemolyticus. Its description in RNAcentral is "bacterial SSU rRNA". It matches the Rfam family "Bacterial small subunit ribosomal RNA", at positions 86 to 527 of the family's 1533-position model. The record is from RNAcentral. Lineage: Bacteria; Pseudomonadati; Pseudomonadota; Gammaproteobacteria; Vibrionales; Vibrionaceae.